ACUCAGCCUUGUCUCAGGAUGGUAAGUUGGUGGUUGAAGAUAUCCCUCUAGUGGUGUGGGGGCUGUGCUUUGGCAAAGUGGGUGGGGUUAUAUCCUUCCUGUUUGGCCCUGUCCGGGGGUGUCCUCGGAUGGGGCCACAGUGUCUCCUGACCCCUCCUGUCUCAGCCUCCAGUAUUUAUGCUGCAGUAGUUUAUGUGUCGGGGGGAUAGGGUCAGUUUGUUAUAUCUGGAGUACUUCUCCUGUCCUAUUCGGUGUCCUGUGUGAAUCUAAGUGUGCGCUCUCUAAUACUCUCCUUCUCUCUUUCUCUCUCUCGGAGGACCUGAGCCCUAGGACCAUGCCCCAGGACUACCUGACAUGAUGACUCCUUGCUGUCCCCAGUCCACUUGGCCGUGCUGCUGCUCCAGUUUCAACUGUUCUGCCUUAUUAUUAUUCGACCAUGCUGGUCAUUUAUGAACAUUUGAACAUCUUGGCCAUGUUCUGUUAUAAUCUCCACCCGGCACAGCCAGAAGAGGACUGGCCACCCCACAUAGCCUGGUUCCUCUCUAGGUUUCUUCCUAGGUUUUGGCCUUUCUAGGGAGUUUUUCCUAGCCACAUGCUUCUACUCCUGCAUUGCUUGCUGUUUGGGGUUUUAGGCUGGGUUUCUGUACAGCACUUUGAGACAUCAGCUGAUGUAAGAAGGGCUUUAUAAAUACAUUUGAUUGAUAUAAUGACAACUUACACUGCCAUAAAUGCAAGGCCAAAAAGUAAUGUUUUAUGUGACACGAUUUUGGACAAAUCCAUGAAGACACCAAUAAGGCUGUGGCAGUCACAGAAUUUCUACACAUAGCCUACAAGACACUGUUGCAGGAACAUUUACAUUUUAAAAAGUCUAAUAAAUCCAUGUCAUAUAGCCCACACUUUCACAAUUAAUCCAUUAUAUAUCUUAGACCGGUCUAAAGAAAUAUAUUUUAUCCAAACGAUUUGAGAGAGAGCGCACAUGCAUCUAUUCUGUGUUGAGCGGUUAACAAAGAAAUAGGUACUCUGUAAGGGCAAUUUCUGUUAAACCUUACUGAUGCUUGUAUACUACAAGAUCUUUCUUUAAGCUUAGUUGCUUAGGCAUAAAUAUUUAUAUUGUUAAAGAAGCUAGAUCAUAUAAGAUAAAUGUGUGUGCAUUAGUAUAGGCCUGUUUUAACUUGUGUGUGUAGUAUAGGAACCUACCUAGGGAAGUAGGUCCCCAUUGUCUGAUCUGGGCCCACAGCCAAGAGCUGACCAGAGCGACCAAUGGUAUCCUGUUAGUCAGAAGAGAAUGAACUGAUUACUCUUAAUCUACUGAAAACAGAGCAAAGUGUUGUAUCCUGGGCACCAGUGAUAAAGAUGUUGUCCUGGUAUUAGCUUGUUGCUGGGUGAAAGAUUCAUGAUUGUGUAUGUGUGGGUGUGAAACCAUCUAUCAUCUUGGCAGACAGCAAAAGGCGCUUGCUGGCUAAUGUAUGAGGAACUAGUGAUUUCCCUGUUGCUCUGACACCUAUUGUCCUUUGUUCUCACUAGAAGAUUUGAAUAACCAGCAGUUGCUACAGGACGAGACAACCAAAUUCUGUACCUUUUAUCCCAGUUUAGUCCUUUUUCUCCAUGCACAUACAAAGAUCAUGUGUUUUGUAUAUGUUUGCAUAAGACAGCCUGACUAUAUAAGGUUCCUGCAUUUCUAGUGUCAUUUGGGCUCUCGGCCUUCCACCUGAGAGUGGAGGACUGACCAGCUGCAUUAUUGCAAUUCUUAUUAAAUAAAGGUUGAUUGUUCCUCAUUAAUUAGAAUUUCCAUGACAAGUGGCGACCCUUCGUGUAGGACAGAGGGUCUUUUUUCCCAAGCUUAAAAUUAUAAACAUGAAUCAUUGGCCAUGCUGUCAAUCCAGCAUGACUUCUGCCUCUCUCAAAACAACUGGAAACUCAGAAUUGGGAAAUCUCAGACUUCAGUAAGUUCAAGACAACUGUGAACUCAGAAAAUACGAGCUCCAACUGGGAAAAUACAAUUUGAACGGUCAUCCAACACGGAAUUUCAAGUCAGGAACUCGGCCUCUUUCUAGAGUUCCGACCUGAAGAUCACUAACAUCAUGAUUUGACCUUGUUUUUUCCCAAAUUUCCAGUUGUCUUGAAAGCACCAUGAAUUCAGAGAAUGCCAGACAUUGAUGACAAAGGUUGAUGACAAAAUCUGCCCACAAAGGACCGCCGCACCACCUUCCUGUUCAAGUGAGGACCGCACAACAAGAGACGUGAAGGAGAAGCUCGUCGGAUGUUGAUCUCUUCUCGGCUUCUCUCAAGUGAGCACAGCACAACAAGAUUUGAACAAUACCAGAUGAACAAAAGUGUCACAAGUGAACCACAACAGUCUCCAAUCUCACAGUUCAUGAAGACCAGUGUAGGGCAGUACAGCAUGAAUCAUCCACAGCAGAAAUCUAUCAACAAUGCAAUACUGUCCGACCUGGUUAUCAACUGCAACUUGCCUCUGUCUAUUGUGGAAAACAAGAGUUUUCGUCACUUUCUGUCAGUGGUUGACAGUAAGUACAGCCCAGUGUGUCGUAGAACAUUGACAUCAAAAGGGGAGAACCUCGCUACAGAGAGAAGUUCAAAACUGAAAACUCAGUUGAGCAAGACAGACCAUGUUUCAGUCACAGUGGACAUUUGGUCUCACCGAAAGAUGAGGGGGUUCCUUGGUGUCACUGUGCACUGUAUGGAGAAAGAUGGAGAGAGGAUACAGCUCAAGUCCAAUCUCUUGGCCUGUGACCGCUUCAAAGGCCCACACACGGCCGAAAGAAUCUGUAAGCAAUUUGAGGCCAUAUGUGGUGAGUACAGCAUUAAAGAUAAAUUGGACUAUAUCAUUAGUGACAAUGCUGCCAACAUGAGAAAAGCAUUCACUGUGUGCUUCCCCAUUGAACAAGAAGAUGAAGUACUUGACAAAGAUCACCUUGAUGACCCAGAGCUCUGGAAUGACCUGACCCUGGAAGACCAGCAAACAGUGGAUGCUGCUAUUGCAAAAAACAGCACUGUGUUUUGCCCACACUCUCCAGCUGGUGGUGUGAAGUGAUGACGACUCUUUCAAAGUUAUCAAAAAUCCGCUCACUGCUACAUACAAGCACAACAUUCAAAGAGGUGUUUGAGGCUGAAUUUGGGGAAAGGGGCAUCCCUGCUGCGGUCAACACAAGAUGGAACUCAAAACUGAAACAAGUGAAGGCAGUUAUCCAAUGUGACCAUCUUAAGCUCAAUCAUGUUCUACAAAAGGCUGGGCACAAGGAGUUGUUGUUCACAGUAUGGGAGUGGAAUAAGUUGAAGGAGUUGGUGGACAUCCUGAAGCCAUUUGGAGAAGCAACAGAUAUGACACAGGUGGAGAAGAUAGUCACAAUCAGUUCUGUUGUUCCCUCGGUCCUGUCCCUGAAUCACCACCUGGAGCAGCGGAAGCCUCAAGUCCAUUUCCUGAGCGGCCUGGUCAGAAGUCUCCAGGCAUCCCUGAACAAAAGAUUUCUUUGAAUCUUCAUCAAUGUGAAAAUGGCCAGGACAUAAGAUGGAAUCACUGCCCCCUUUUCAGAUCCAGUCUACCUCAAAGCAGCUGCCUUGAAUCUGGCUUUUUCUCUGAUGUGGGUGGAGCACCAUGUGCUGGUCAAGGAGGAGUUGGCACAAAGAGUGAAAGAACUGAUUCUGCAAGAUGCUACAUGGACUGAGCAAGCUGUGCCUCUUGUUGAUGAGGAAGAGUGAGAGGACCAUAGUCUUGGACAAGAAGAAGGGCUGUUUACAGCAAAUUGUAAGAUGCAGAAGAAAGCUGUUACAGGUUGUAAGUUGUUACAGGUCUGUGAGAGCCAGAAAUCUUGCUUGUUUGUAGGUGACCAAAUACUUAUUUUCCACCAUAAUUUGCAAAUAGAUUAAUUAAAAAUCCUACAAUGUGA
Long non-coding RNA from Oncorhynchus nerka (sockeye salmon), 3905 nucleotides. RefSeq lists it as uncharacterized. The transcript is spliced from 4 exons. The record is from RefSeq and is a predicted model, not a curated record. Lineage: Eukaryota; Metazoa; Chordata; Actinopteri; Salmoniformes; Salmonidae.